UUCCCUGUGGCUCAGUUGGUAGAGCAUGGUGUUUGCAAUGCCAGGGUUGUGGGUUCGAUUCCCACGGGGGACC
Salmo salar (Atlantic salmon) is the source of this 73-nucleotide non-coding RNA. Lineage: Eukaryota; Metazoa; Chordata; Actinopteri; Salmoniformes; Salmonidae. The record is from Rfam.